CUCUGUGACUAUACCACCCUGAAGAUGCCCAAUUUCAUCUGAUCUUGGAAGCUAAGCAGGGUUGGGCCUGGUUAGUACUUGGACUAAGGCUUCCCUGAUAGCUCAUUUGGUAAAGAAU
Ribosomal RNA from Bison bison bison, 118 nucleotides. NCBI's taxonomy places the organism in Eukaryota, Metazoa, Chordata, Mammalia, Artiodactyla, Bovidae. The record is from Ensembl.